This 253-nucleotide ribosomal RNA is filed under the name uncultured bacterium. RNAcentral describes it as "partial 16S ribosomal RNA". It matches the Rfam family "Bacterial small subunit ribosomal RNA", at positions 524 to 776 of the family's 1533-position model. The record is from RNAcentral.
UACAGGGGGGGCAAGCGUUGUUCGGAAUUACUGGGCGUAAAGGGCUCGUAGGCGGCCAACUAAGUCAGACGUGAAAUCCCUCAGCUUAACUGGGGAACUGCGUCUGAUACUGGAUGGCUUGGAUCCGGGAGAGGGAUGCGGAAUUCCAGGUGUAGCGGUGAAAUGCGUAGAUAUCUGGAGGAACACCAAUGGCGAAGGCAGCACUCUGGGACGUGACUGACGCUGAGACGCGAAAGCGUGGGGAGCAAACAGG